This 270-nucleotide ribosomal RNA is filed under the name uncultured soil bacterium. RNAcentral describes it as "partial 16S ribosomal RNA". It matches the Rfam family "Bacterial small subunit ribosomal RNA", at positions 27 to 291 of the family's 1533-position model. The record is from RNAcentral.
GGGACGAACGCUGGCGGCGUGCUUAACACAUGCAAGUCACGGGGGUCCCGGGGGCAACUCUGGGAUAACCGGCGAACGGGUGCGUAACACGUGAACAACCUGCCCUCGUGUGGGGGAUAGCCGGGCUAACGCCCGGGUAAUACCGCAUACGUUCUUCUGGGGGAGUCCCUGGGAGAGGAAAGCCAGUGGCAACACUGGCGCACGGGGAGGGUUCGCGGCCUAUCAGCUAGUUGGCGGGUAACGCCCACAAGGCGACGACGGGUAGCUGGU